CAGGGGGUGCUUGCACCCCGCUGACGAGCGGCGGACGGGUGAGUAAUGCAUAGGAAAUUGCCCAGUAGUGGGGGAUAGCCCGGGGAAACCCGGAUUAAUACCGCAUACGUCCUUCGGGAGAAAGCAGGGGAUCUUCGGACCUUGCGCUAUUGGAUGUGCCUAUGUCGGAUUAGCUAGUUGGUGGGGUAAAGGCCUACCAAGGCGACGAUCCGUAGCUGGUCUGAGAGGAUGAUCAGCCACAUCGGGACUGAGACACGGCCCGAACUCCUACGGGAGGCAGCAGUGGGGAAUAUUGGACAAUGGGGGCAACCCUGAUCCAGCCAUGCCGCGUGUGUGAAGAAGGCUUUCGGGUUGUAAAGCACUUUCAGUGAGGAGGAAAACCUUAUGGUUAAUACCC
This 397-nucleotide ribosomal RNA is filed under the name Marinobacter sp. HOT5G7. RNAcentral's name for it is "bacterial SSU rRNA". It matches the Rfam family "Bacterial small subunit ribosomal RNA", at positions 70 to 465 of the family's 1533-position model. The record is from RNAcentral. Lineage: Bacteria; Pseudomonadati; Pseudomonadota; Gammaproteobacteria; Pseudomonadales; Marinobacteraceae.